AACGAACGCUGGCGGCAUGCCUAACACAUGCAAGUCGAACGAGACCUUCGGGUCUAGUGGCGCACGGGUGCGUAACGCGUGGGAAUCUGCCCUUAGGUUCGGAAUAACAGUUAGAAAUGACUGCUAAUACCGGAUGAUGACUUCGGUCCAAAGAUUUAUCGCCUAGGGAUGAGCCCGCGUAGGAUUAGCUAGUUGGUGAGGUAAAGGCUCACCAAGGCUACGAUCCUGGCUGGUCUGAGAGGAUGAUCAGCCACACUGGGACUGAGACACGGCCCAGACUCCUACGGGAGGCAGCAGUGGGGAAUAUUGGACAAUGGCGCAAGCCUGAUCCAGCCAUGCCGCGUGAGUGAUGAAGGCCUUAGGGUUGUAAAG
This 372-nucleotide ribosomal RNA is filed under the name uncultured bacterium. RNAcentral describes it as "bacterial SSU rRNA". It matches the Rfam family "Bacterial small subunit ribosomal RNA", at positions 29 to 430 of the family's 1533-position model. The record is from RNAcentral.